RNAcentral lists this transfer RNA (78 nucleotides) under Actinomycetota bacterium. Its description in RNAcentral is "tRNA-Met". It matches the Rfam family "tRNA". Rfam says of the family: Transfer RNA (tRNA) molecules are approximately 80 nucleotides in length. Their secondary structure includes four short double-helical elements and three loops (D, anti-codon, and T loops). The record is from RNAcentral. Lineage: Bacteria; Bacillati; Actinomycetota.
GGCGGCGUAGCUCAGUUUGGUUAGAGCACACGGCUCAUACCCGUGGCGUCACUGGUUCGAUCCCAGUCGCCGCUACCA